RNAcentral lists this ribosomal RNA (2209 nucleotides) under Salmonella enterica subsp. enterica serovar Schwarzengrund. RNAcentral describes it as "partial 23S ribosomal RNA". It matches the Rfam family "Bacterial large subunit ribosomal RNA", at positions 690 to 2874 of the family's 2925-position model. The record is from RNAcentral. Lineage: Bacteria; Pseudomonadati; Pseudomonadota; Gammaproteobacteria; Enterobacterales; Enterobacteriaceae.
GGGCGUUAAGUUGCAGGGUAUAGACCCGAAACCCGGUGAUCUAGCCAUGGGCAGGUUGAAGGUUGGGUAACACUAACUGGAGGACCGAACCGACUAAUGUUGAAAAAUUAGCGGAUGACCUGUGGCUGGGGGUGAAAGGCCAAUCAAACCGGGAGAUAGCUGGUUCUCCCCGAAAGCUAUUUAGGUAGCGCCUCGUGAAUUCAUCUCCGGGGGUAGAGCACUGUUUCGGCUAGGGGGCCAUCCCGGCUUACCAACCCGAUGCAAACUGCGAAUACCGGAGAAUGUUAUCACGGGAGACACACGGCGGGUGCUAACGUCCGUCGUGAAGAGGGAAACAACCCAGACCGCCAGCUAAGGUCCCAAAGUCAUGGUUAAGUGGGAAACGAUGUGGGAAGGCCCAGACAGCCAGGAUGUUGGCUUAGAAGCAGCCAUCAUUUAAAGAAAGCGUAAUAGCUCACUGGUCGAGUCGGCCUGCGCGGAAGAUGUAACGGGGCUAAACCAUGCACCGAAGCUGCGGCAGCGACGCUGAUGCGUUGUUGGGUAGGGGAGCGUUCUGUAAGCCUGCGAAGGUGGCCUGUGAGGGUUGCUGGAGGUAUCAGAAGUGCGAAUGCUGACAUAAGUAACGAUAAAGCGGGUGAAAAGCCCGCUCGCCGGAAGACCAAGGGUUCCUGUCCAACGUUAAUCGGGGCAGGGUGAGUCGACCCCUAAGGCGAGGCCGAAAGGCGUAGUCGAUGGGAAACGGGUUAAUAUUCCCGUACUUGGUGUUACUGCGAAGGGGGGACGGAGAAGGCUAUGUUGGCCGGGCGACGGUUGUCCCGGUUUAAGCGUGUAGGUGUGUGUUCCAGGUAAAUCCGGUUCACUUUAACACUGAGGCGUGAUGACGAGGCACUACGGUGCUGAAGCAACAAAUGCCCUGCUUCCAGGAAAAGCCUCUAAGCAUCAGGUAACAUCAAAUCGUACCCCAAACCGACACAGGUGGUCAGGUAGAGAAUACCAAGGCGCUUGAGAGAACUCGGGUGAAGGAACUAGGCAAAAUGGUGCCGUAACUUCGGGAGAAGGCACGCUGACACGUAGGUGAAGUGAUUUACUCAUGGAGCUGAAGUCAGUCGAAGAUACCAGCUGGCUGCAACUGUUUAUUAAAAACACAGCACUGUGCAAACACGAAAGUGGACGUAUACGGUGUGACGCCUGCCCGGUGCCGGAAGGUUAAUUGAUGGGGUCAGCGCAAGCGAAGCUCCUGAUCGAAGCCCCGGUAAACGGCGGCCGUAACUAUAACGGUCCUAAGGUAGCGAAAUUCCUUGUCGGGUAAGUUCCGACCUGCACGAAUGGCGUAAUGAUGGCCAGGCUGUCUCCACCCGAGACUCAGUGAAAUUGAACUCGCUGUGAAGAUGCAGUGUACCCGCGGCAAGACGGAAAGACCCCGUGAACCUUUACUAUAGCUUGACACUGAACAUUGAGCCUUGAUGUGUAGGAUAGGUGGGAGGCUUUGAAGUGUGGACGCCAGUCUGCAUGGAGCCGGCCUUGAAAUACCACCCUUUAAUGUUUGAUGUUCUAACGUGGACCCGUGAUCCGGGUUGCGGACAGUGUCUGGUGGGUAGUUUGACUGGGGCGGUCUCCUCCUAAAGAGUAACGGAGGAGCACGAAGGUUGGCUAAUCCUGGUCGGACAUCAGGAGGUUAGUGCAAUGGCAUAAGCCAGCUUGACUGCGAGCGUGACGGCGCGAGCAGGUGCGAAAGCAGGUCAUAGUGAUCCGGUGGUUCUGAAUGGAAGGGCCAUCGCUCAACGGAUAAAAGGUACUCCGGGGAUAACAGGCUGAUACCGCCCAAGAGUUCAUAUCGACGGCGGUGUUUGGCACCUCGAUGUCGGCUCAUCACAUCCUGGGGCUGAAGUAGGUCCCAAGGGUAUGGCUGUUCGCCAUUUAAAGUGGUACGCGAGCUGGGUUUAGAACGUCGUGAGACAGUUCGGUCCCUAUCUGCCGUGGGCGCUGGAGAACUGAGGGGGGCUGCUCCUAGUACGAGAGGACCGGAGUGGACGCAUCACUGGUGUUCGGGUUGUCAUGCCAAUGGCACUGCCCGGUAGCUAAAUGCGGAAGAGAUAAGUGCUGAAAGCAUCUAAGCACGAAACUUGCCCCGAGAUGAGUUCUCCCUGAGAAUUAGAGUCCACUGAAGGAACGUUGAAGACGACGACGUUGAUAGGCCGGGUGUGUAAGC